GAGGGCGGCGGGCUCGGCCCGCAGCGCAUCGUUCAAAAGAAACCAAGCGUCGAGAGACAACGAAAUGGAGGAAAAAUGGCCGAGCCCCGGCCGGCUGAGAAAGGCCGGUGGGGGACGCCAGGCCCUGGCGAGCUGCUGGCCCUGAUCCGCAGAGAUGCUGAGGCAUCGGUGCCAAACACAUCCCUGCUCCUGGGGGAAAGCAAGAUGGGGCCGGAGGAUGGAUGGCUGCUUCCCCUGCAGUGCCCCUCCAUCUUACAGAUUUAGGAGCAGUCAGGGCUUCCCCUUGUAGUAUAGAAAUUUAAAUUCGCAUUGCGCUGAUGUGGGUAAAAUAUUUAAGCUCAAGAUGCCGGUUCUCCCCUCACUCCACGUUACCUGUCCACCAUCACCAGGCUCCCUGCAGAAAUCCAGGGUGCAGUGGCUGUGUGUGGAAACCUGCUUGGUGCAGAGUGGGAAUUUCACCAGAGCAAAACCCGUACACAAAAAUAAAGCCUGGUCUGUCCUAUUAAAAAAAAAAAAAAAAUCACGUACAGGAUUAGUAAGAGCAGAUGCAACUUAAAAACCAAGAGCUAAAUUGAUUUAUAGCCAUGGUUACUCGAAAUGCUCAGAGUUUAAUCUAUUCAUAGAAAUGCUCUAGAAAUCCCACAGGAUUCCAAUGGAAUAAAAAGGAGCAGUGCUCUUAGGCAGGCAUUAUUUAUACACCUUGCUCCUGAAGCAACAGCUUUUCCAUGCAGUUGGAAGAGUUGUGGGUGGCAGCACACAAUGGUGAAAAGAUAGCAAAUAUUGAACAGCUUUCUUAAAUUAGCAUCUUCCUUACAUUUAACCUUUUAAACUGAUUGUUUUGUUUUACCUCACAGGCCCAAGUAUCCUUGUGGUUAACACUUUAUGAGCUGGAUGACAGAUCCUACCCAAAAUGGGCUCAGCAUGAAGAAUUUUUCCAUUUAAAAUACUCUAAACAGAGCCGGUAGUUUUAGGAAAUUAUAUUUUCUAAUCCUUUUAGUGAACUCACGAGAUGCUUCACUAUUUCACAGCCACAGAACUGAGUGAGAAGGGCACUGAGGAUUUCUGGAGCCCAAGAGUUUCUGUGGGAAACAUCAGCACCUGCAGAGCCAAAGCUGAUAUUUUGGAUGUCGAUGACGUUGUGACAAAGAGCAGCCAGCAGUGGAUGUGGUGGUUUAGCUGGAGAAAAAUUCAGGAUUCAGUCAAGAAAGAAAGGAAACAAUUCCUAAUGAAGAAUCAUGUUCCCUUCUGCCUCUCCUGUCCACGAUGCAGGCCUUGGACAUGACAGGGGCAUUUCCUUCCUCACCCAGCACGGCUCCAGGAUCCAUCUGAGCAAGCCAUGGCUCUGCAGUGAUCGUUGGUACAGGGCUGCAAAGUGGGAGACACCAACCCUGCCCAGCAGAGCGCCAGGAAAUCACCAAUCAGGUGCUUUAUGCCUUUAGAUUUCACAUUUUUAGGAAAGGGAGGGGGAAAGCCAGCCUGGCUCCUGCUAAGCAGCAGCAGCAGCAGCACACAAAGCAAUCGUUAUGCCAAGAUUUAGCUGUUAAAUCCCUCAAGAUCUGGUGCUCACAGAGCAUAAACAACCUUUGCCUCCCAGCCUGGCCGAGUUUACCUCCAGGUUUCCCAGCACAGGCACACAGACCCUCCCAUACCCAUCCUCUCCCCAGCCCUUUGCUCAGGCUGCCGUGCCAACAAGAAAGCCAGUUGCCAUGGCAUUUUUUCCCCCUACAGACAGAUGUCCAUUAAAAACCAAGUCAGCCUCAGGUUUGCUUCACAGAGCAGCUUUCAGUUGUUAUUACCAGCCUGCAAGGAAUUUCCACUGCAGCCCUUCACCUCAGAUGUUUCAAUGCACUUCAGGAUUAAUCCCUGGGGAUUAGAAGGAAACUACUACAGAGCAGGUACAGGUAUGUUCAAAGGACAAAUUUAGGAUUGUGAUUGUGGUUUAUGUUUUUGGCAGAUGACAACCACGUGACUGUGUUUGGAAAGGGUUGAAUUUUUUACCUCUGGUGCUCUUUCCCCUGUUCACUGUGCUAAAAUCAUCAGGCAAAUUGGAAAUCAGAUGUGAAACUUUCCCCUCCUCCAGGAUGUCUCACCUGGGGCUCAGAUCUGGGAUUUUGACUUCAGGAGGAACCUGCCUGUCCUGGACAGGGGCAUCAUCCCAGGCUCCAUCCAUGGGGAAGGGAAAGCCCAGGCAGCUUCUGUGAGCAGGGCCAAGCACUUCCAGCAAUGUCUUCCACCUUGGCCACACUUACAUUUAAGAAUGGAAAAAGGGAUGAAUGGAUCCAAACUCCCCCUCAGCCCAUCCUGGGGGUUAAGGGCCUGUGGGAAGUGUCCCUUAGGAAAAACUGAGGAGCUUCCUACUGCAGUGCUGGCAGCACAUCCCAGCAUCUCUGCAGGGAUGGGUUUGGAGGGAACAGGUAUUGUUAUUUGGACUCCAACAGUGCUGAAUGUGUGAGAAUUAGACACUGAAAUUUAACUGUACAGUGGAAUUAGUUUUCCUUACUUAGCACUGCAGUGCUAGAAAUCCUUGCAGAUGUCCAGGGAGAGAUCUCUCCUCUCACAUCUGGCUCUGAACCUGGCAGGGCUUCCACAGCAUUCCUUGUUCAAGCUGUGCCACUUGGGAAACCUCAGCCUUCUGAGAUUUUGGAGCCACCAUUGCAGCUCAGAGCCCUGCAUCCAGGCUGGCUCCCAGGGAGGUUUCUCUGGAGCCUGGUGCCACAAUUGCAGCUGCAGGAACAGCAGCUCCUGGUGGCUCUGGGAAGCAGCAGGGUCUGAGCACACCCUGGCUGCAGGGUCCCGAGGGAGCACUCCCUUCCAGCCCUCAGUCACUUCCCAAGGCAACACAUUUGGAUUUCUCCU
This is a long non-coding RNA of Catharus ustulatus (Swainson's thrush), 2856 nucleotides long. RefSeq lists it as uncharacterized. The transcript has 3 exons. The record is from RefSeq and is a predicted model, not a curated record. NCBI's taxonomy places the organism in Eukaryota, Metazoa, Chordata, Aves, Passeriformes, Turdidae.